RNAcentral lists this transfer RNA (98 nucleotides) under Marasmius tenuissimus. Its description in RNAcentral is "tRNA-Leu". It matches the Rfam family "tRNA". Rfam says of the family: Transfer RNA (tRNA) molecules are approximately 80 nucleotides in length. Their secondary structure includes four short double-helical elements and three loops (D, anti-codon, and T loops). Lineage: Eukaryota; Fungi; Basidiomycota; Agaricomycetes; Agaricales; Marasmiaceae. The record is from RNAcentral. RNAcentral also lists the same sequence under 1 other name.
GGUAAGAUGGCCGAGCGGUUAAGGCGUGUGACUCAAGCUGAAAAAGCUUCUCUUCUCAUGGGGGAAACCCCGCCAGAGUUCAAAUCUCUGUCUUACCA